CCAAAAUUUCACUUUACUUUACUUUUAUACGAUUUAUAGUAUCAAAUUCUUAAACUACCGUACCCGCGUCCAAUUAUUUCUUUUAUACCAACUCUACACGUGUCCAUUAAGAUGUAGGUGUAAAUUUAUACUUUGUUAUUAUAGUGCUGCCCCUAGAAAUCUCAUUGUCUUCUACCACUCUCUCCUCCGACUUUUCCGCCUCCACCGCAGAACACCUCAUCAUUGCCACCAUUACCAAAUUCGUUUCUUCACCGUCAAAUUUAAUCUCCAAUUUCAACAUCGCUCUCUGCGCUAGAAGCGGAAGACAAGGCGAAGAUCAUUUAGCGACGGUGAGUUGGAGGAUGGAGGAGAGGAUCUCCGAUUUUUUAACAGCGAUGGAGAUGGUGAUUCUCCUUUUGGCGGUGGCAGUGGUGGAAACUGAAGUGACGGUGUAGAGGGUGAAAUUUUGAUAAAUUUGGAGGGCAAAAUUGGGAUGAAUCAUCCUCUUAGUCAUCAGCCUCAAAAUUUGCUUAUGGAUUUGUUUAUGAAGUGAUUUAUUGAAUCGUGUUAUCGAAUUGUUUGCAUUUUGCCUUUAAAAAGGUUUCAAGGUUUAUGGCUGAUGGUGAAAGAGAGAAGGUUUCUAAGAGAUUGACAUCCAUUUGCUAGUGGCUAAAGUUCAAGAACCAGUGUGUUUAUGAGAUCAAUGAAGGGGAUCGUGGACUAUUGAA
Molecule: long non-coding RNA, 707 nt
Organism: Mercurialis annua (annual mercury)
Lineage: Eukaryota; Viridiplantae; Streptophyta; Magnoliopsida; Malpighiales; Euphorbiaceae
Exons: 2
Source: RefSeq, a predicted model, not a curated record